UAAGUUGCAGGGUAUAGACCCGAAACCCGGUGAUCUAGCCAUGGGCAGGUUGAAGGUUGGGUAACACUAACUGGAGGACCGAACCGACUAAUGUUGAAAAAUUAGCGGAUGACCUGUGGCUGGGGGUGAAAGGCCAAUCAAACCGGGAGAUAGCUGGUUCUCCCCGAAAGCUAUUUAGGUAGCGCCUCGUGAAUUCAUCUCCGGGGGUAGAGCACUGUUUCGGCUAGGGGGCCAUCCCGGCUUACCAACCCGAUGCAAACUGCGAAUACCGGAGAAUGUUAUCACGGGAGACACACGGCGGGUGCUAACGUCCGUCGUGAAGAGGGAAACAACCCAGACCGCCAGCUAAGGUCCCAAAGUCAUGGUUAAGUGGGAAACGAUGUGGGAAGGCCCAGACAGCCAGGAUGUUGGCUUAGAAGCAGCCAUCAUUUAAAGAAAGCGUAAUAGCUCACUGGUCGAGUCGGCCUGCGCGGAAGAUGUAACGGGGCUAAACCAUGCACCGAAGCUGCGGCAGCGACGCUGAUGCGUUGUUGGGUAGGGGAGCGUUCUGUAAGCCUGUGAAGGUGGCCUGUGAGGGUUGCUGGAGGUAUCAGAAGUGCGAAUGCUGACAUAAGUAACGAUAAAGCGGGUGAAAAGCCCGCUCGCCGGAAGACCAAGGGUUCCUGUCCAACGUUAAUCGGGGCAGGGUGAGUCGACCCCUAAGGCGAGGCCGAAAGGCGUAGUCGAUGGGAAACGGGUUAAUAUUCCCGUACUUGGUGUUACUGCGAAGGGGGGACGGAGAAGGCUAUGUUGGCCGGGCGACGGUUGUCCCGGUUUAAGCGUGUAGGUGUGUGUUCCAGGUAAAUCCGGUUCACUUUAACACUGAGGCGUGACGACGAGGCACUACGGUGCUGAAGCAACAAAUGCCCUGCUUCCAGGAAAAGCCUCUAAGCAUCAGGUAACAUCAAAUCGUACCCCAAACCGACACAGGUGGUCAGGUAGAGAAUACCAAGGCGCUUGAGAGAACUCGGGUGAAGGAACUAGGCAAAAUGGUGCCGUAACUUCGGGAGAAGGCACGCUGACAUGUAGGUGAAGUGAUUUACUCAUGGAGCUGAAGUCAGUCGAAGAUACCAGCUGGCUGCAACUGUUUAUUAAAAACACAGCACUGUGCAAACACGAAAGUGGACGUAUACGGUGUGACGCCUGCCCGGUGCCGGAAGGUUAAUUGAUGGGGUCAGCGCAAGCGAAGCUCCUGAUCGAAGCCCCGGUAAACGGCGGCCGUAACUAUAACGGUCCUAAGGUAGCGAAAUUCCUUGUCGGGUAAGUUCCGACCUGCACGAAUGGCGUAAUGAUGGCCAGGCUGUCUCCACCCGAGACUCAGUGAAAUUGAACUCGCUGUGAAGAUGCAGUGUACCCGCGGCAAGACGGAAAGACCCCGUGAACCUUUACUAUAGCUUGACACUGAACAUUGAGCCUUGAUGUGUAGGAUAGGUGGGAGGCUUUGAAGUGUGGACGCCAGUCUGCAUGGAGCCGACCUUGAAAUACCACCCUUUAAUGUUUGAUGUUCUAACGUGGACCCGUAAUCCGGGUUGCGGACAGUGUCUGGUGGGUAGUUUGACUGGGGCGGUCUCCUCCUAAAGAGUAACGGAGGAGCACGAAGGUUGGCUAAUCCUGGUCGGACAUCAGGAGGUUAGUGCAAUGGCAUAAGCCAGCUUGACUGCGAGCGUGACGGCGCGAGCAGGUGCGAAAGCAGGUCAUAGUGAUCCGGUGGUUCUGAAUGGAAGGGCCAUCGCUCAACGGAUAAAAGGUACUCCGGGGAUAACAGGCUGAUACCGCCCAAGAGUUCAUAUCGACGGCGGUGUUUGGCACCUCGAUGUCGGCUCAUCACAUCCUGGGGCUGAAGUAGGUCCCAAGGGUAUGGCUGUUCGCCAUUUAAAGUGGUACGCGAGCUGGGUUUAGAACGUCGUGAGACAGUUCGGUCCCUAUCUGCCGUGGGCGCUGGAGAACUGAGGGGGGCUGCUCCUAGUACGAGAGGACCGGAGUGGACGCAUCACUGGUGUUCGGGUUGUCAUGCCAAUGGCACUGCCCGGUAGCUAAAUGCGGAAGAGAUAAGUGCUGAAAGCAUCUAAGCACGAAACUUGCCCCGA
RNAcentral lists this ribosomal RNA (2126 nucleotides) under Salmonella enterica subsp. enterica. RNAcentral's name for it is "partial 23S ribosomal RNA". It matches the Rfam family "Bacterial large subunit ribosomal RNA", at positions 696 to 2802 of the family's 2925-position model. Lineage: Bacteria; Pseudomonadati; Pseudomonadota; Gammaproteobacteria; Enterobacterales; Enterobacteriaceae. The record is from RNAcentral.